RNAcentral lists this long non-coding RNA (1384 nucleotides) under Piliocolobus tephrosceles (Ugandan red Colobus). RNAcentral describes it as "lncRNA (ENSPTEG00000007489.1)". The record is from RNAcentral. Lineage: Eukaryota; Metazoa; Chordata; Mammalia; Primates; Cercopithecidae.
AUGGAAAAAGCUGACAUAGAAUUUUUAAAUCUCUCGGAAAAAGAAAAAAAAAAACUAUAUUCUUAUAACUUCUAUACACUUGAAAAGUUGAGUACAAAUUAUUUGGAAGAUGUAGAAAUAAGGGACAUUAAUUUGAUACAAAAUAAAAUUUUUAAAUAUCACUUGGGUAAUCUAGGAAUUAACAGUGAAGAUGGAAAAAAUAACAAAAAAAACAUUUGUGCAAAUAUAAAUAACUUGCAUCAAAUAUACUCAUAUAGUGAUAACGAACAGUAUUGCUUUAAUCAUAAUAAGGGUUAUAAAAACGGUAAAACAAAUGAUGGUAAUUAUAUUUAUGGCAGCAGUUGUAGUAAUAGUGAUGAUAUCAGCAGUUAUUACACUGAUGACAAUAGUAAUGACAACAAUAGUGGCAUAAAUAGCGACAUAAAUAAUGAUAACAGUAGUGAUAACAGUGGUGAUAACAGUGGUGAUAACAAUGAUGAUAACAGUGGUGAUAACAGUAGUGACAACAGUAGUGACAACAGUAGUGACAACAGUUGUUAUAAUAAAGUAAAUGAUUCAUGUUUAUAUGGAUCUGACAUUUCACAUUCAGGUGAGUAUUACACAUGUACUCCUGCUCGUUGUGGUAAUUCUUUUUCACACAUUUCUAACAUAAACAAACAGCAAUAUGCCAAUAAAAUAAUAAACAAACAUGUAGACUAUCAAACAGACAAAUCAAUUAAAAAAAACUAUUAUAACAAAAACUAUUAUAACAAAAACUAUUAUAACAAAAAAAAUUAUAACAAUGAAACGUCUAAAAUAUAUGAAUAUGGUGAUGUUAGUAGUGGUAGUAGUAGUAGUAGUAGUAGUAGUAGUAGUGGUAGUAGUAGUAGUGGUAGUAGUAGUAGUGGUAGUAGUAGUAGUGGUAGUAGUAGUAUUAGUAGUAUUCGUAGUAGUGUUGGUGGUAGUGGUAGUAGUAGUAGUAGUAGUAAUAGCAGUACUAGUAGUGGUACAAAUAAAUGGGCACAAAUAAGUAACAAAAUUAUAAACACAAAAGAAGCUGAAAGAAUAUUCAGUAAAACUCAUGUUGAUGAUAUAUUAAAAAACAAUUCUAUACAAGAUAAUAAAAAAAACAUUUUUUUAUAUAUACAUAAUAAAAAAUAUAAAAUUAAUCAAAUUCCAUUUUUAUGUUCUGUAUACAACUCUUUUGAUUUUUUUAUAAAUAUACAAACAAAAGUUUUUAAUAAUAAACAUAUUUUAAGAUUUACUCUGUUAAAGUCACAAAAUAGUUCCAAAUAUUAUUAUUCCUAUGCUUAUAUAAAAAAAUUCACGUUGAAGGAAGUACCGUAAUUUUUUUUUUUUUUUUUUUUUUUUUUUUGUGUGCAUCUGUUAUUUAUUCAUUUGUUAU